CAGCGGAGGGAUCAUUACCGAGUUUUACAACUCCCAAACCCAUGUGAACAUACCUACUGUUGCUUCGGCGGGAUUGCCCCGGGCGCCUCGUGUGCCCCGGAUCAGGCGCCCGCCUAGGAAACUUAAUUCUUGUUUUAUUUUGGAAUCUUCUGAGUAGUUUUUACGAAUAAAUAAAAACUUUCAACAACGGAUCUCUUGGUUCUGGCAUCGAUGAAGAACGCAGCGAAAUGCGAUAAGUAAUGUGAAUUGCAGAAUUCAGUGAAUCAUCGAAUCUUUGAACGCACAUUGCGCCCGCCAGUAUUCUGGCGGGCAUGCCUGUCUGAGCGUCAUUUCAACCCUCAUGCCCCUAGGGUGUGGUGUUGGGGAUCGGCCAAAGCCCGCGAGGGACGGCCGGCCCCUAAAUCUAGUGGCGGACCCGUCGUGGCCUCCUCUGCGAAGUAGUGAUAUUCCGCAUCGGAGAGCGACGAGCCCCUGCCGUUAAACCCCCAACUUUCCAAGGUUGACCUCAGAUCAGGUAGGAAUACCCGCUGAACUUAAGCAUAUCAAUAAGCGGAGGAA
This 558-nucleotide ribosomal RNA is filed under the name uncultured Bionectriaceae. RNAcentral's name for it is "eukaryotic LSU rRNA". The stretch from base 176 to 329 matches the Rfam family "5.8S ribosomal RNA". Lineage: Eukaryota; Fungi; Ascomycota; Sordariomycetes; Hypocreales. The record is from RNAcentral.